AAUCCUUCUAAGAACAAUACCUUUUUGUACCUUCCACAUUGGAUUAUUUUAGCCUAUCGUCUUACUCAUUCUGUUUUCAAGAAGUUUAUUUCUAUCACCUUUUUUAUAUGAGCAGAAUGAUUAUGUUCAAUCAUAAGUAGUGCCAAUAUAUGAGAAACAUAAUUGUAUGUGAGCUCCAAACAUGUUUAUUUUUUAUAUGAUUGAAAAUUUAUUUCUGUGGUAUAUAUGAACAACAGUAACCAGUGAUCCUUAAUCUUCAAUUGUGAAAGAGCUAGAUGCUUCAAAUAUGUCCCAAAAAUGUCACCAUUUCUGUCUUCAUUAAACUUUGCAUUUAACAUUUAAUUACUAUAUUCAAAAGCAAUAAUUUUUUGUGCAGAAGCCCUGAAAAUUUCCCAUAAAUUACACAUUAAUAAAUAAUUGCGUGAAACACUCUUCAUCUAAAGGCAUUUCAGAAGUGCAUGCUAUGUCACAUGUGAAAAAGUAGUUGGAAGAGGGAAAAGAUGCUAUGUCUUUGUUCAGUGUUCUGACCUAUGAACAUCUGAAUGAUUAGUAGUCUAAAGUGAGUCUGAAAUAACCAGUCCAGCACAGGGGACCUGAACAGAGAGAGAUCUGGCCUGAGUUGACCACUAGUAGUCCGGUCUCUUGGGCAGGGAAACAAAGCGCAGACUGGAAGAACCCUCCUAGAACACUGGGCCCCAAAGCAGAGUGAGCCUAAGAAAACAAACAUCCUUCUCACAAGGGACCAAAUGGGUAGGUUGGGAAGAGAUCAAGUCUCAGAUGACCAUGAGACCAGUGCUAAGGGGCAUAGUCAAAGAGCUAGUCUUAGAGGGCUACUAUUAUGACACCAUAAUGCACAAACAUGACAAAGCAAUCCUGAAAUGACCCCACUAACUCUGAGACCUUGGGUGUCAUUAAGAGGAGCAAGUACAUGGUGGAGAAAUGGAAGAGAAAGAGAAACAGAAGGAUGCCCGUCCAAUGAAGAGAGGCAAAACUGGAGACUCAAGGUAGUGAGUGAUGAUGCCUCAGCUCUCCUGUGUCAGUGGGGAUGAAGAAGUACUUUUUCCACAAAGGAAGUUUCCCUGGACAUAGAGAAAACAGUCUACACUGAACUCUACAGUCAACUUCCAGCCUUCUAGUUGAAGUCACAAGAAGAAAAAGUUCCCAGGACAUGAACAACACCAAGAAUAAACAUCAUAGAAUGAUGGAAGGGAGAAACUAGAAACUUGCCUUGUUUGGCCAAAGUCUGGCAUUAACAGAUGAGCAUGCAGAUGGGAGCCCACAGGAGGAAGCAUACAUUCUUGGGGAACACACAUAUUGUGGAGAACUUACUAAAGGAGACAUAAACGGAAAUUGUGGAAGGAUCUUUCCCUUAUGGGUUCUAGGUAAGUCUUACAAGAGAUCAUUCUGGAGUAUCAGGAUGUUAUUCCUGGAGGACAGUGUAUCACGAGUUACUAAGAAUGAAGGAAACUCAAUUUAAACUGAAAGAUAAAAAUGACAUCUAUGGUCAAGGUUGGAGGAGGAAGUCUCAAUAAUGUGAGAGUAAGAGAGAGGGUACACAGUGGAAAUACCAUAAUGGAACAUUCAUACAUAAGCGUUGUGUAAAGACCUAUAGGAUGUCUCAGAGAUAUAUUGGUAAGUGCUUAUCUUGCAAUACUCACCCGAGUAUGAUCCCUAGUAUGUAGCCUUCCUCUAACAAGCAAAGCAUGUUCACACAC
This 1715-nucleotide small RNA is filed under the name Rattus norvegicus (Norway rat). Its description in RNAcentral is "uncharacterized LOC102547864". The stretch from base 431 to 561 matches the Rfam family "Small nucleolar RNA SNORA17". Lineage: Eukaryota; Metazoa; Chordata; Mammalia; Rodentia; Muridae. The record is from RNAcentral.